GACGAACGCUGGCGGCGUGCUUAACACAUGCAAGUCGAACGGUGAAGGGGUCUGCUUUUGUGGGCCCUGGAUGAGUGGCGAACGGGUGAGUAACACGUGAGUAACCUGCCCCCUUCUUCUGGAUAACCGCAUGAAAGUGUGGCUAAUACGGGAUAUUCUGGGCCUGUCGCAUGAUGGGUCUGGGAAAGAUUGCGCCUUUGGGUGUUUUUGGUGGGGGAUGGGCUCGCGGCCUAUCAGCUUGUUGGUGGGGUGAUGGCCUACCAAGGCGGUGACGGGUAGCCGGCCUGAGAGGGUGGACGGUCACACUGGGACUGAGACACGGCCCAGACUCCUACGGGAGGCAGCAGUGGGGAAUAUUGCACAAUGGGCGCAAGCCUGAUGCAGCGACGCCGCGUGAGGGAUGGAGGCCUUCGGGUUGUAAACCUCUUUCGCCAGUGAAGCAGGCCUGCUCCUUGUGGGUGGGUUGACGGUAGCUGGAUAAGAAGCGCCGGCUAACUACGUG
Molecule: ribosomal RNA, 502 nt
Filed under: uncultured bacterium
Lineage: Bacteria
Description: partial 16S ribosomal RNA
Rfam family: Bacterial small subunit ribosomal RNA
Source: RNAcentral